UCAAGCUACUAAGAGCACAUGGUGGAUGCCUUGGCACCAGAGGCCGAUGAAGGGCGCGGCAGAGCUGCGAUAAGUCCCGGGGAGCUGCGGCGCAAGCUGUUAUCCGGGAAUUCCCGAAUGGGGCAACCCGGCCAGGGUCAUGCCUGGUCACCCAUCGCUGAAUCAAAUAGGCGGUGUGGAGGGUACGCAGGGAACUGAAACAUCUAAGUACCUGCAGGAAGAGAUAUUCCCCUAGUAGUGGCGAGCGAAAAGGGAAAAGCCUAAACCGAAGCGGCGUGAUAGACGGCAGUCGUUUCCGCUUCGGGGUCGUGGGACCCACCUGUUCCUGCUGCCGCGGGGACAAGGAGUAAAAAAACCGACGUCUAGCCGAACGGCAUUGAAUGGCCGGCGAUACAGGGUGGCAGCCCCGUAGGCGAAAGGCGAGCGGUCUCCUGGAGGGGAUCCCAAGUACCACCGAACACGUGGAAUUCGGUGGGAAUCAGCGCGGACCAUCGCGUAAGGCUAAAUACCUCUGGUGACCGAUAGUGAACGAGUACCGUGAGGGAAAGGUGAAAAGUACCCCGGAAGGGGAGUGAAAGAGUACCUGAAACCGUGUGCUUACAAACCGUGAGAGCACUAUGCCUGCUUGCAGGAAUGUGUGAUUGCGUGCCUUUUGUAGAAUGAUCCGGCGAGUUACUUCAGUGUGGCGAGGUUAAGGGGUUGACACCCGGAGCCGCAGCGAAAGCGAGUCUGAAUAGGGCGUUAUGUAGUCGCACUGAGUAGACCCGAAACCGAGUGACCUACCCAUGGUCAGGGUGAAGCGCGGGUAAGACCGCGUGGAGGCCCGAACCGACCCCGGUUGAAAACGCGGCGGAUGAACUGUGGGUAGCGGUGAAAUGCCAAUCGAACUCGGAAAUAGCUGGUUCUCCUCGAAAUGCAUUUAGGUGCAGCGUCGUCGAUUUGUUUGUCGCAGGUAGAGCACUGAAUGGGCUAGGGGCGAUCACCUCGUUACCAAACCCAACCAAACUCCGAAUGGCGGCAAAUUUUACGGCGGCAGUGAGACUGUGGGGGCUAAGCUUCAUAGUCGAAAGGGAAACAGCCCAGACCGCCGGCUAAGGUCCCAAAUCCCAGGCUAAGUGGCAAAGGAUGUCACGUUGCCCAGACAACCAGGAUGUUGGCUUAGAAGCAGCCAUCAUUUAAAGAAAGCGUAAUAGCUCACUGGUCGAGUGGUGUGGCGCCGACAAUGAUCGGGGCUCAAGUCUGGAACCGAAGCCGCGGAUGUCAUAGCUUCGGCUGUGGCGUGGUAGAGGAGCGUUCCACGGGCAGUGAAGGUCGAGCGUGAGCACGGCUGGAGCGCGUGGAAGUGCGAAUGCCGGAACAAGUAGCGAGAAACGUGUGAGAAACACGUUCGCCGUAAGCCUAAGGUUUCCUGGGCUACGUUAAUCGUCCCAGGGUCAGUCGGGCCUAAGCCGAGGCCGAAAGGCGUAGGCGAUGGACAGCUGGUCAACAUUCCAGCACCACUGGCGAGUACCGAUGGGGUGACAGGGAAGGGUAGACACAGCGGGGCGUUGGUUGUCCCCGUGCAAACAGGUAGGGGGUCUAGUAGGAAAAUCCGCUAGACACAUACCCCGAGAGGAUGCCGAGCCCGCAAGGGCGUAGUGGUUGAUCCCAAGCUCUCAAGAAAAACCUCUAAGGGUUGAUCCGCCAGUGUCCGUACCGCAAACCGACACAGGUAGGCAGGAAGAGGAUUCUAAGGCGAUCGAGAGAACCGUGGUUAAGGAACUCGGCAAAUUGUCCCCGUAACUUCGGGAGAAGGGGAGCCUCUGCAGGUGAAGGGCGUACGCCUGGAGCCAGUGGGGGCCGCAGAGAAAUGGCCCAAGCGACUGUUUACUAAAAACACAGGUCCCUGCCAAAGCGCAAGCUGAUGUAUAGGGGCUGACGCCUGCCCGGUGCUGGAAGGUUAAGAGGAAGGGUGAGAGCCUUGAAUUGAAGCCCCAGUAAACGGCGGCCGUAACUAUAACGGUCCUAAGGUAGCGAAAUUCCUUGUCGGGUAAGUUCCGACCCGCACGAAUGGCGUAACGACUUGGGCGCUGUCUCGACCACGGACUCGGCGAAACUGAAGUACCUGUGAAGAUGCAGGUUACGCGCGGCAGGACGGAAAGACCCCGUGGAGCUUUACUGCAACUUGGCGUUGAUGUGGGGUCUAGCAUGUAGAGGAUAGCUGGGAGACUUUGAAGCGGGGCCGCUAGGUU
Molecule: ribosomal RNA, 2231 nt
Filed under: soil metagenome
Description: bacterial LSU rRNA
Rfam family: Bacterial large subunit ribosomal RNA
Source: RNAcentral